This is a long non-coding RNA of Talpa occidentalis (Iberian mole), 494 nucleotides long. RefSeq lists it as uncharacterized. The transcript is spliced from 4 exons. NCBI's taxonomy places the organism in Eukaryota, Metazoa, Chordata, Mammalia, Eulipotyphla, Talpidae. The record is from RefSeq and is a predicted model, not a curated record.
GGGAGCCAGUCCCUGCCAGGUCCCAGCUGUGGACAUCAUCACACUAACCAACAAACAGCAUCACACCCUACUCUUCUCUUGCUCAGAAUUCUUCUGUGACCUCUGCCUGCUCCAGGGAAACAGUCACACCCUAUGGCAGGUCUGCUUUCAAAUAAUAGACAGUCACGCUCCCCUAAAGGUGCCGCCUUAACAACAACACUCGUGUGUUCAAAGCACCGGCCUGAACAGUGACGUCCAUCGCAGACGUCCCUCUGAUCAGCAAAGAUCUCAUCUGAAGAGAAGGCCAGUGUUUCCAGUCAGCACAAUACCGGGGAGGGCCGUGUAUUUGUACGAACAGCAGAUUCUUCCCCUGAAUUUACACCUCUUGCUACUUCUACAAACCAGCAGGAAGACAGAGCAUAAAACUUUGCAACAGCAGGAAGUUCCUUCAAGCUUGGCAGAUCUUCGGGUGAUCUCAGGAGAAGCUGCCCGGCCUGUGGUUGUUUGCGUUUGAG